RNAcentral lists this unclassified non-coding RNA (253 nucleotides) under uncultured Myxococcales bacterium. RNAcentral's name for it is "contains 16S-23S intergenic spacer region". It matches the Rfam family "Bacterial small subunit ribosomal RNA", at positions 524 to 776 of the family's 1533-position model. Lineage: Bacteria; Pseudomonadati; Myxococcota; Myxococcia; Myxococcales. The record is from RNAcentral.
UACGGAGGGUGCAAGCGUUGUUCGGAAUUACUGGGCGUAAAGAGCGUGUAGGCGGUUUGGUAAGUCGGAUGUGAAAGCCCUCGGCUCAACCGAGGAUGUGCAUUCGAUACUGCCAGACUUGAGUGUCGGAGGGGGUGGCGGAAUUCCCGGUGUAGAGGUGAAAUUCGUAGAUAUCGGGAGGAACACCUGUGGCGAAGGCGGCCACCUGGACGACAACUGACGCUGAGACGCGAAAGCGUGGGUAGCAAACAGG